Molecule: ribosomal RNA, 364 nt
Filed under: Acrobeloides nanus
Lineage: Eukaryota; Metazoa; Nematoda; Chromadorea; Rhabditida; Cephalobidae
Also listed under: 1 other name
Description: SSU rRNA
Rfam family: Eukaryotic small subunit ribosomal RNA
Source: RNAcentral
AUGCAUGUCUAAGUAUAAACGAUUUAAUCGUGAAACCGCGAAUGGCUCAUUAUAACAGCUAUAAUUUACUUGAUCUUGACACAAUCCUACUGGAUAACUGUGGUAAUUCUAGAGCUAAUACAUGCAUUAAAGCUCUGACCUCACGGGAAGAGUGCAUUUAUUAGAACAAAACCAAGCGGCUUCGGCUGUUUCUGGUUGACUCAUAGUAACUGAGCUGAUCGCAUGGUCUUGCACCGGCGACGUGUCUUUCAAGUAUCUGCCGUAUCAACUUUCGAUGGUAGUGUAUCUGACUACCAUGGUGAUCACGCGUAACGGAGAAUAAGGGUUCGGCUCCGGAGAGUUCGCCUGAGAAAUCGCGAACACA